GUGAAGAAAAGUCGAAUAAAAUGUCUGCCAUUGUCAACCUACGUGUUUUCCGCAAUUUUCAACAGUUUGUGUCAAUUAGACCCAUUUCUAAUUAUCCCACAUGGCCACAUCAUUUCGCAAAAAAUGAAGAAAUUCAAAAAGUGGAUGGAGAUGACAAAUUCCGUGCUGAAUCUGAGUCACAACAAGUCGUUGAAUAUCAGAUCAUACGGACGCAAAGUAUUCAAGAGAGCAGCAGUUCAUCCUCCACGUUCCAUCAAAAUGCCAACUGAUCAAGACUGGCCCUAGGUUUGGCCAGUUGCCAGAUCUUUCCAUCCAGCUAGUGUACCGCUACCCUUGCAUCAGGGCUGGGUUGUUCAAGGGACAACUGGUAAAUUUGCCAAUGCAGAGUUGAUGAAGAUCCCCAACUUUCUUCACUUGACACGACCCACUAUUGAGAGACAAUGCCAAGCAUUGAAAAGUGAGAAGCCGGCGUUUUGUAAGAAACACUUCAGAACAAAUCAGACAGUCUGGAAAGUCUGAGCUCCGUCUUUGCUGCCCAACACAUGCAACACAACACAUUUGAUGCAGCCAGCUGGUAAAGGGUGUUCCUCUUGUUACCCUGUACUGCUGUGUGUUUCGUCAAAUGAAGAAACAUGAACAACUGAAGUUUAUCGUGUAUGUUCGCGUAGUUGCUGUCCGCUGUGGUACGUUGUUGCAGGCUUGCAGCCUAUGCUGGUGAUAGAUCUUUCUGCAUCAAAUUCAACUGGCCGUUCCUUGGUGCUGGUGUCGUGUUACCGAAGUUGCAUUAUUAUUUUAUGAAAUUGGCAUUGUGUCAAUGUAGUUUACCUUUAAUAUGUGAAGAAGGAACAAAAAAGAAAUAUGGGGAUGUUUAUGUCAAACAAAUAAUAAACAUGUUUUCGGGAUUGGGAAAGGAAAGAGGAGGAUGUGGAAAGGGGAUAUUUCAAGUUUGGUUAAAAAACAGUUAAUUUAUAACCCUACAAACAUAUCCCUACCAAUUAAUCUCCAAACCCCACAAACUUACACCUUCCAAUUCUUCAGACCCUACAAACAUACACCUACCAACCCUCAAAUUUAUACCCUAAACCAUAUAAACCAAUGUCAAACCCUAUGUCUGUAAUAAAUAAAAAAAUUUAAUACAU
Daphnia pulex (common water flea) is the source of this 1139-nucleotide long non-coding RNA. RefSeq lists it as uncharacterized. The record is from RefSeq and is a predicted model, not a curated record. NCBI's taxonomy places the organism in Eukaryota, Metazoa, Arthropoda, Branchiopoda, Diplostraca, Daphniidae. The transcript has 4 exons.